Molecule: long non-coding RNA, 2648 nt
Filed under: Capsicum annuum
Lineage: Eukaryota; Viridiplantae; Streptophyta; Magnoliopsida; Solanales; Solanaceae
Description: long non-coding RNA (CANN_LNC016770)
Source: RNAcentral
GAUUCUAUGUUUUCGAGCCUUUAGCUCGAGUCUCGCUCCACCUGCAUUAAAUUUACAACUGUGGCUUCCAGGCCCAAAUGAAUAAAUAGGGAAAUCAAUAAAUAAAUGAAUAUAUACAAUAACAAAUAAACUAAUAAGGGAAUGAGACUUAUAAGACUCUUGGUCGCUUCAAUGAUGGGACUUUGACCCAUUUUCCUCUUCCGACUCCACGUAUCUGUAUGCCAUGCAAUUUGCUUUUCAAAGUCUCCUAAAGGGUGAGCCUCCAUGGCCCACUGCGAAAUACAAGGGAAAAAGUUCAUUUGGACUCUCAAGCGGGUUCAUGCGAAGCAAGAAAGUAAUGACCAUUAAUAUGUGAUCAACUAAGAAAGAAAAGGAAAAGGGGAGCUAAAGGAGAAAAACACAAACAUUCAACCAAGGAAAUAAAAAAAAAAAAAGAUACAUGACAUAUGACUAUCUGAAGGGAAGACAUCACAGAGCAAUCUAACUCUUAGUCGGUCACAGCAAAGCCACAAGGCUAAUGAAAAGUGUGAGGGUGCGUUCAUAUAGGCAAAUAACAUGCUAAGUCAAAAUCCUCCCUAUACGUACCCUCAAAAUCCUAUAAGACUAGUUGGAAAAUAACAAAUAGAAAACUCAAAAUAUCGGACCAUGGAGAGGCAAUCAAAGAAAAUUAGCUUGAGCAAAGAGGGAGAAUUUCCCUUACAUCAAAUGCACUGCCACCUGCUUAAAUUCUUUCAUACUAAUUAAUGAGUUGAGGAACUUUAACCAACACUAGCAAUCCACCCAAAUAAUUGACAUCAAACACAUCGUCAGAACACUAUAUAAAACACCAAGAAUGAAACACGGGGAAUCCCAAACACAUAACGAAAGACUCAUUUCUCUUAAUGGUCAAAAAUAAUCUUCUCUCAUAUUAUAACCUCAAAAUUUAAACAUUCAGGCUCCGAAUUAAACGCGAAGGAUGUUCAUAAAUCAGAUCAUUUCCAAGUCAAGCUCAUAUUUUCAUUAUACAAUAUCAUUCAGACUCAAAUACAAUAUCGAAGGGACCCUACCCAUUUUUUUUUCAAUAAGACAAUUACAUUUCCUUUGGGGAUCAAACAAACGAAAUGCCGACUUGAAACAAGCUCCAAAAGGAAGCAAAGAUUCAAAAUUUGCAAUUCCACAACAAAGGGAGCAGGUUUAACAGGUAAACAAAAUUCAGCAGCUCAAAAUGUAUUGAACAAAAUCGCAGUGUGAAACUUUAACCAUAGAAAUCAGGUAAACAAGAUUCCAACAACCUGAAACUUAUUAGACCAAACCAAAACACAAAAGUUCACUACGAAACUAGUUUUAACGAAAUUCAGACAACCCAAAAUAGGAUCAAAGCAUGUAACUUUAAACUACGAAACCAACCUCAAAAGGAUAUUGGUUACUCGAAACAAAAUCCAAGGCACAGAACUUUAAUGUAAAAGCCAGACCUAACAAAAUGCUAUUACCCGAAAAACUGUUAAAGCACGAAACUUUAACGGGAUUAACCAUACAAAACUUAAGCAACAAACAAAAUAAGAGCAUUCAACCGAAAAUCAAUCAACAAUAUACAACGAACACCCAGCGCAGGAUUAUUAGAAUAAUAGUUUUCUACUACAGAAUGAUGAGAUGAAGAAGAAGCAGUCGAAAGAUUAAAAUGGUGUAUGAUAUUACCUUUACGAGAGAAGCAAAAUGAGACGAAGAAACUAACACCAAAAAACGCCACCUUCGAAACUUAGUGUCAUCAACUCAAGAAGCUCUGAUUGACCUGCCAACUCCUUCGACGCAGAAAAAUUAUGACGACGAGCUAUCAGCACACUUAUCGCUAACAGAAUCUCACGACAUCGACCACCAACAAAGCAUCUUUUACCUUUACCCCUAAAGAAAUUUUGAAACCCCCGAGACUUUCGACUGAAAUUUUCAACCUACAUUUAGAAACUCUAAAAAAUUUUCCUCCCUCAGAAGAUUUCUCUCUUUUUGAACCUUCAAAAGACUACCCCAAAAUUCCGACCCCCUCCUAAUUUUCUCGACUUCAAAGAUCCAACCCCCUAAAACAGUGACCCAAUGGAUCUUUAUAUAAAAGAAGGAUUAGGGGUAAUCUAGGGAAUUCGGAAGAAAGAAUUUUGAAUCUCCCUCAAAAAUCUCCCCCCCACAGUCCGUUUUCGUGCUCAAUUCAUACCAAUUUUUGGAUUUUCUUUUCGGAUCAAGGGAAGGGUGGACCAAUAGGAUUUUUGAAAAACAAAUUGUACCCCCCAACUAAUGAAAAUUCCCCAAAUUUGCACGAAAUCGUACCAUUGUUACCGAGAUUUGCGAAAUUGAUCCGUUGAGGGGACACCUAUACAUCUUCUAGAGGAUUCUCGAACUUCCCAUGGUACGAAACUGCAUGCUACUCACGUGAGAAGUACGAUAGAAGUAAGGGAGAGGAGAAACGGCGGGUUCUAUCGGGUCGGACCUGGUUGGAAUCGGGUUGAUGGCUGAUGUUAGGUGUUGUCGCGAUAUUGUUGUCGUUUAAUUUUGAAGCUGAUAUGGUUUGAUGUUGUUGAAGAGAAAGAAAAUGGGUGAAGAGUAUUGGGCCCGGGUCGGAUCUAUUGAAAUUGGGCUUGGUGGCUGGUUGUUAAGUGCUGAAUAUUAAUGAGAAAAGGAAAUGG